Heterocephalus glaber (naked mole-rat) is the source of this 2701-nucleotide long non-coding RNA. Lineage: Eukaryota; Metazoa; Chordata; Mammalia; Rodentia; Bathyergidae. The record is from Ensembl.
CUUUUAGUUUUAUGGUUCCCAACUUACUUUAUGAGGCCAUUAUUAGCCUCAUACCAAGCUAGAUAAGGACAGCACAAAAAAGAAAAUUAUAGACCAAUAUCCCUGAUGAACACAGAUAUAAAAGUCUGCAACUAAAUAUGAACCAACAUAAUUCAGCAGUACAUUAAAAGGAUCAUUCACCAUAAUCAAGUGGAAUUUAUUUCUGGGAUGCAAUGACAGUUCAAUACAUACAAAUCAAUAAAUGUGACACACAUGAGCUGAAAAGAAAAACAAAAAUCACACAAUGCUCUCAACAGAUGCAGAAAAAGCACUGAACCCCCUUCACAAUAAAAACACUCAACAAACUAGGUAUAAAAGCGAUUGACUCAGGGUCCUCAUGGCCAAGCCCAUGGCUAACAUCAUGCUUGACAAAAGAGAGCCAAAGCUUCUCACGCGAGGUCAGGACCAAGACGGUGCCUCUCACACCACUUCUGCACCACCACGGUGGAGGUCAUGGCGAGAGUGACUAAGAAAAUGGAACAAAAAGCAUCAAACCAGAAAGGAGGGAGAAAGAAAAUCUGUUCACAGGGGACAUGAUUUUCUAUACAGAAGACUUUGAAGACUCUGCCAAAAGACUGAUGGCUAAAUGAACUCAGUAAAUUUUCAGGACACCAAAAAUCGAUGUAGAAAGAUAAGAAGCAUCUCUAUGCACUAAUGACAAACUUUGUGAGAAAGGAAUGAAGGAAAUAAUCCCAUUUUCACCAAGAGAUAGAGGGAAGGGUGAGUAAAAAGAAUUAAGAUGUGUAAGGUACACAUACCAAAUCCCCACAGUAAGUGAAAUCAUUAUGUACUGCAAACAUGUACCAAUAAAAACUGAAAUAAUAAUAAAAAUAUGUAAUCAAGAAAAACUGGGCUGGGGAUUUAGCUCAGUGCUUCCGCCACCUGCCUUGCAGGUGCAAGGUCCUGAGUUCGAUCCCCAGUACCAAGAGAAAAAUUAUCCCAUUUAUAAUAGAAUAAAAAAGAACACGGUGGUGCAUGUCUGUAACCCCAGCUACUCAGGCAGCUGAGGCAGGAAGAUCCCAAGUUUGACCCCAGCCUGGCCAACUUAGGAAGAUCCUGUUUUAAAAUAAAAAGGGAUGGGGCCGGGCAUUUAGCUCAGUGGUUUCACCGCCUGCUGUGCAGGUGCAAGAGACCUGAGUUCGAUCCCCAGUCCCCCCCCCAAAAAAAAGGCUGAGGAUGUAUCUAGUGGUAGAGCACCCCUGGUUUCAAUCCCCAGUAACACACACACACACACACACACACACACACACACACACACACACAAAGGAAAACAGAAUAAAGUAAAGAAUAAACUUAAGAAGGUGAAAGUCCUGCACACUGAAAAUGCUAAUACAUGGAUGAAGGAAACCAAAAUGACCCAAAUAUAUUAAAAAUGUCCUGAGUUCUAGGGUUGAGACUAGCAAUGGUGUCAAAAUGGUCAUACUCCCCAAAGUCUCCUACAGAUUCAAUGUCAUUUCUACCAAAAUCUCAAACCGUAUAUUACAACAGCAAUAGAAAGAGCAAUCCCAAAGUUCAUAUGGCACUACAAAAGACCCCGAGUAAUAAACCAAUGCUGAGGAAGAAAAGCAGAAGCUGUAGGCAUCACACUACCUGAUGUUACUGUCUACUGCAGAGCUAGAGCAACUCCAUCAGUGUGGCAUGAAGACAGACUCAUCCAGCAGGGGGCGGGCAGAGCCCAGGAAGGAGCCCUCUCCCAGGGGUCACGGAUCCACCAAGGCGCAGAGAGCACACAGGGGGGUGGGGAGGCGGGCUCCUCUGUGAAUGGCAAGGGGGACACCUGACAGCCACGUGCAGAAGAACAGAACCAGAGCCUGGGCUUAACCCAAAGGCAAAAUUGACCUGGAAUGUUUUAUGUAGAAAAUGAGCUAUUUCUUUUAAUAAUUCAUCAAAAUGUGGGGUUUUCUAAUCUGGUACUUGUGCAGCCAGUCCUGCUUGGAGCCCACAGGCACGUGGCCUCAGUAGCAGUCGGCCACAUUCUCCUCCAGCAGGGCCACUGUGGCCAGGACAUCUUGCAAGAGCGACUGGGGGCUCUUCUCCACGUGGUCGCUGCUCUCGGCCAGCCUGCUCUGGAGGCCCUCCAGGUCCAUGGACCUCAAGGCAGCCAGCACCACCUCGGGCUCUAGGCUCCCCAGGGGCUGGCCCUGCUCACCCACCUGCCACCUCUCCAGGGUGGCCUCCACAGAGGCCACAUCAGAGCUGUCCCCAGCCUCCUGCAGGCCACUGCAGGGAGCACUCUUGUCCCUCAGAAAGAGGAGGAGGUCACAAGCCUUUUGUGCCACAGGUCGAUCACAGUCAAACAAAGCACCGAAAGGCAAAGUCAAAGAUCUGCAUCUGGCAGAGAGUCCUCAGCACCUCAGGGAGUGGGCUGGGUGGGGUGACCUUGGGGAGGGCCACGGCAUAGGGACAGGAGGGGUUGGGCUGCCCCAGUGUCUGGGCCAGGAACACCUGCACCAGCUCCAGGCCCUGGGCCCGGACUUCCCAGUCCAGGUCCCGGCUCACCAUCUGGAGCACAGUGGCCACAAACCACCCGCGUCCUGGAUCACAUCAGCAUGGCUGUUCCUCAGCCACUCAGUGAAGACCCGGGUGACUGCCCUUCGCGGGAACCCCUCCCGAGUCCACGGACAGGAUAUGCAGGAGCUCCCCAACCAGGCCCUGUGGGACC